CAGUCGCCGCGGUAAUACAGAGGGUGCGAGCGUUAAUCGGAUUUACUGGGCGUAAAGCGUGCGUAGGCGGCUUCUUAAGUCGGAUGUGAAAUCCCUGAGCUUAACUUAGGUAUUGCAUUCGAUACUGGGAAGCUAGAGUAUGGGAGAGGAUGGUAGAAUUCCAGGUGUAGCGGUGAAAUGCGUAGAGAUCUGGAGGAAUACCGAUGGCGAAGGCAGCCAUCUGGCCUAAUACUGACGCUGAGGUACGAAAGCAUGGGGAGCAAACAGGAUUAGAUACCCCAGUAGUCCCUGUCUCUUAUAC
RNAcentral lists this ribosomal RNA (301 nucleotides) under uncultured bacterium. Its description in RNAcentral is "partial 16S ribosomal RNA". It matches the Rfam family "Bacterial small subunit ribosomal RNA", at positions 509 to 807 of the family's 1533-position model. The record is from RNAcentral.